GACGAACGCUGGCGGCGUGCUUAACACAUGCAAGUCGAGCGAUGAAAGCCUUAUGAACUAUUCGUAGUGAUUGAGGCCGGAUUAGCGGCGGACGGGUGAGUAACGCGUGAGCAACCUGCCUUAAACAACGGGAUAGCCUCGGGAAACCGGGAUUAAUACCGUAUGAGACCCCGCCUUCACAUGAAGAAGAGGUUAAAGACUUAUCGGUUUAAGAUGGGCUCGCGUCUGAUUAGCUAGUUGGUGAGAUAAAAGCCCACCAAGGCGACGAUCAGUAACCGGCUUGAGAGAGUGAACGGUCACAUUGGAACUGAGACACGGUCCAAACUCCUACGGGAGGCAGCAGUGGGGAAUAUUGCACAAUGGGGGAAACCCUGAUGCAGCGACGCCGCGUGAGCGAUGAAGGAAUUCGUUUCGUAAAGCUCUGUCCAAGGGGAAGAUAAUGACAGUACCCUUGGAGGAAGCCCCGGCUAAAUACGUGCCAGCCGCCGCAGUAA
RNAcentral lists this ribosomal RNA (494 nucleotides) under uncultured bacterium. Its description in RNAcentral is "partial 16S ribosomal RNA". It matches the Rfam family "Bacterial small subunit ribosomal RNA", at positions 28 to 523 of the family's 1533-position model. The record is from RNAcentral.